AUCCAGACGACGAGUCCCAAAUAGGACGAAACGCGCGUCCUCGAU
RNAcentral lists this non-coding RNA (45 nucleotides) under Schistosoma curassoni. Lineage: Eukaryota; Metazoa; Platyhelminthes; Trematoda; Strigeidida; Schistosomatidae. The record is from RNAcentral.